CUGAGCACUGAGCUGGUCUCAUGCUCUCCACUGCAGCGGCCGCGACAACUGGCGCCCAACGUGGGGCAGAUCGAUGACAGGCCUGACAGAUACCCCACGGGCAGAGUCUAAACUCCAUGAAUAGCGCGUCAGCAAGCUUCGAGCUUUCAGCCCGAGGAUUCGGGUCUCCUAGACGUUUCCGUCCUUGGGGGUCGGAGAAGGUUAUGGUAUAGCAGUCCCUUCAUCAGCAUGCUUGGAACUGGGAACCAGCCCUGAACAGCAAAGGCAAAACACCAAGGGUUCCAACCCCUCAGCAUCUCUUGCAUCUGCCUCCUUAGUCUAGGUCUUCAUCAUACCUUACCCUCACUACUGUAACAGCCUCAUACUCAGAGGUCUUCCAAAGGUCUCAUCACUUGAAGAUCAAAGAUUCUGCAUCUGCCAGUGUUGGAGUCACUUCUUUUUCAACUCCAGACACAGUCUAUGUCCAGCAGGCCCCAUGGAGUUGCACUUCCUUCCUGUAUUGCAGGGACAAGCAAAGAUCUUUGUACUUGGUAAGAAAGCAUUGGCAAAGAGUAGCUUUAAGGAAAAUCAGGGCAAAAAAAAGAGAGAUUUCCCUGAAGGCCUAUUUCUCCUGAGUGUGCAGAAAGAAAUGUGCACAAGGCCAGAGGCACUUUCCAAACUCUUAACAGGAAAAAAUCAAUCUAGAAUAGUUCUUUGUGUUCUUGGCCAAUGAUGUCAAAGCCCUCCCAGGAAAACGGAAGAAAUAUUAAAAUUAAAGGUUGCUGGAGAACUGUGAAGGGGAAUGUUAUUUAUGAACCUUAAAAAGGUCCUAAGAGAGAAAGAGGAGGCAUCUCAUUCUUUUGAAAUCAAUGGAAAAGGAAAAGGUCUAGUAAUGGAAA
Vombatus ursinus (common wombat) is the source of this 878-nucleotide long non-coding RNA. RefSeq lists it as uncharacterized. The record is from RefSeq and is a predicted model, not a curated record. The transcript has 3 exons. NCBI's taxonomy places the organism in Eukaryota, Metazoa, Chordata, Mammalia, Diprotodontia, Vombatidae.